UUCGCAAUGCCCGAAAGGGUGACGAUGCGACGCCGCGUGAGCGAAGAAGGCCCUAGGGUUGUAAAGCUCUGUCGAGGGUUAUGAAAUAUAGAUGGGUUAAUACCCCAUUUAUUUGACAAAAGCCCAAAAGGAAGCCACGGCUAACUCUGUGCCAGCAGCCGCGGUAAUACAGAGGUGGCGAGCGUUGUUCGGUAUUAUUGGGCGUAAAGAGCACGUAGGUGGUUUUGUAAGUCAGGUGUGAAAGCCUUCUGUCCAAAGGAAGAACGGCAUCUGAAACUGCAGAUCUUGAGUGUAGGAGGGGAGAGUGGAACUUCUGGUGGAGCGGUGAAAUGCGUAGAUAUCAGAAGGAACGUCGGCGGCGAAAGCGACUCUCUGGCCUAUUACUGACACUGAGGUGCGAAAGUUAGGGGAGCAAACGGGAUUAGGUACCCCGGUAGUCCUAACCGUAAACGAUGGGCACUAAGUAGAGGGGUUUU
Molecule: ribosomal RNA, 476 nt
Filed under: uncultured anaerobic ammonium-oxidizing bacterium
Lineage: Bacteria
Description: bacterial SSU rRNA
Rfam family: Bacterial small subunit ribosomal RNA
Source: RNAcentral